Molecule: ribosomal RNA, 405 nt
Filed under: uncultured bacterium
Lineage: Bacteria
Description: bacterial SSU rRNA
Rfam family: Bacterial small subunit ribosomal RNA
Source: RNAcentral
CAAGGAAUUUUGCGCAAUGGGCGAAAGCCUGACGCAGCGACGCCGCGUGGGGGAUGACGGCCUUCGGGUUGUAAACCCCUUUUCCCGAGGAAGAAAUAUGACGGUACUCGGGGAAUAAGUCUUGGCUAACUACGUGCCAGCAGCCGCGGUAAUACGUAGAAGGCGAACGUUAUCCGGAUUUACUGGGCGUAAAGAGGGUGUAGACGGUUCUUUAAGUCAGUUGUGAAAUCUCUCGACUCAAUUGGGAGACUGCAAUUGAUACUGGGGAGCUUGAGGGCAUCAGAAGAAAGCGGAAUUCACGGUGUAGCGGUGAAAUGCGUAGAUAUCGUGAGGAACACCAGUGGCGAAGGCGGCUUUCUAGGAUGCUCCUGACGUUGAGGCCCGAAAGUGUGGGGAGCGAAACGG